Molecule: non-coding RNA, 1140 nt
Organism: Cricetulus griseus (Chinese hamster)
Lineage: Eukaryota; Metazoa; Chordata; Mammalia; Rodentia; Cricetidae
Source: RefSeq, a predicted model, not a curated record
CUCUCGGGGGUGGGGUGUUGCCCCCAGCUUGCUUUUAAAUAAAACACAGCGGGCCUGCUGGGGAAGCCCCCCUCCUCCUUUGUCUUCUUGGAACUGCAGCCCCCAAGGGACAAGUAAAAUGAUCAUUCCAUAGUGGACCUCCGGCUCCAGCCCUCAUUCUUGCUUUAAACACACACACGCCGGAGACUAUGUUCACGGGAGUGUAACAAUGGCCAGAGACAUACUUUUGUGGGCAGAUUUCAAUAUGCGUUUCCAAGCAAGCGAUUUGUGGGUGACUUGUCAUUAAAUGGCAGACCUUCUCAUCUCACCACCCACGUUAGGCUCUGAAAAUGGUGUUUCUCUGCGGGCAUCUCCGUUAUUUGAAGAGUUGCCCCAACGGCUGGGAAAGGAAACUUUAUUGAUGAGUUAAAAUAUUUACACACUUCGGAGAACAGUUCUGUCCUUGUGGCAUCGAGGCUUUACUUAAUGACAGAAAAAUUUCAUACCUUUAUUGUAGCACAUCACCAAGACCAACAAGAGCAGAAUGGAUUCGACACUCAUGGGAGGUGUCUUCACUGUCGAGACUCCUCGUAGACACUGUGUGUACACUCCACUGAGUCCAGUUCCCUGGGAUGUGCUCUGGGCCCAUUCUGAUGGCUCUCGCUUACGGAACAGUCUCACCAUGUAGCCCUGAUUGUCCUGGCACUCAGUAUGAACAUCAGGCUGACCCUGAACUCACAGAGGUCUGUCUAUCCCUGCCAGGAUUAAAGGUGUGCAUCACUAUGUGUGGUCUGAAUUAACUCUUAAAAGGUGGAGACAACACUGUACAUAAUGUUUCUGGCUCGAGGUAGGAGUAGAACUUACAUUGCAUUCUUUUGUCCUGGAGGAACUAGCUUCACUUUAAUGGGCCUCAACAAAACACAGACACCUCCACCUUUUCAUAUGGUCUUUUAAAUUCUGAGGUGAGGCAGAGCUGUCACCAGGGAAAUGGAGAGGGCCUCCAGAGCUACACUACUGCAGUAGCCUACAACUCUAAAGAGCAGCCAUAAAAUCUAAAGAUUUGGUACUAUGUGAGCAUAAAAGUGCAAGUACAUAUACAUAAUGUUGUUAGACCCCCCAGAAAACUCAGACCUCUGGGGUCUCAGCCCAGGACCACGGUCA